AAAAUACUGUACCAAAUUCCAUAUGUAAGGAUAUUGAUUGGACCCAGGGCACGUCAGAUUAUUGAUGGUAUAAGGAUGGACAGGCUCACAUUCAGAGAAAUAUCCAUGUUUAUAUGUGGCUUCGCAAUUCUGAUUAUUGUGCUUCAAGCAAUCUCUUCUUCUCAAGUUACUCCCACCACAUGGCCUAGUCAACUGCUACUGAGCUGGGAACCAGAAGACCCUAGCAAGGUCACUUGGCUAACAUCAGGAUUUAUGCUUCACUAGUGCCAAGAUUUGGAGUCUAACACCCUCUCUUGACAUCCACUUGGAGAAUAAUUGGUUCAAUAUCUUGGCACAUGAAAAAUAAAGAUCAUCCGGAAACAUUUUGUUUUCAGGAACAAGGAAACUCAGUAGUUUCUGGGUUAGAGAUAAAAUGGACAAUUUGCUCAGCCUGAAAACAGGGCUUUUAGUGGACAAAUUUUGACACUUAGAGCAUCAAGGGAAAACAAUGGUUAAUGUCAAUUGAAACAUUCCCCAUAUGUGAUAUAAGCUACAGUGUUGAAACAAAAAUGUGAAUUUUCACAGAAAAUAUGUGCUAAAAGUUAGUUAUUUUGCCCACGAGUUUCCAAUAUUGUCUCCAAAAGUACAUAAAAUGACCAACACAAAUUUUAUGAGUCCAAGAGUGGAGUUGUAGCAACCUCCUAAAAAUACAAGAUAUAGAAGUGUUUUUUUUCAAUAUAGCAAAAGAAGAGAUUUAGAUAGGCAUGUAGGGGGAAUUUUGCGUGGUGUAUCUGGUUUUGUUAUGUUUUCUCUACUGGAGCUCUGGUGGCUCAGCUUGGCUCUUAUUUGUAGACUACUGUAGAACUCGCAUUUUGAUUGCUUGGUCAGUGAUAUAUGGGAAGUCAUGAGUCACAGACUGGGUUGUCUGUGAAAAGAAGAAAGAAAGAAAAGAGAGAAGAGAAGAGAAGAGAAAAGAGAAAACAUGAACUGGGACCAAUUUUUGGAAAUGCCACAAGCCACGCUGUUAACAAUCAGGUAACAUGUGCAGAACCUGGCUUGACCCACUUUUGUCAUUUCUUAGAUAGAAUCUGAGGCAGGGUAGGCUUUGGUGUGGAAGUAGUGCCCCAGGCUGUGUGGACACAAAUUAGAGUGGGUUUUAAUUGUAAUGGGAGUAUGGAAUUGAAUUAAUAGGGAGUUAAUUAAUAGGGAGGCAGAAGAACAGAGAACUAUCUAUGCAAUAGACACUCUCGUGAUCACUUGGGCAGGACAGCUCUGGAAGGGGAGGAGGGUGUAGCAAUUUGAUUUGGAAAAUGCAUUGUCAAAGAACCCGGUAGUUUUUGGGUUUCAUAAAAUAUAAUAACUCCUUGACAAUAUAUUGCGUAAUAGAAUUUUUUAAAUGUUAUAUCGACAACUGGGCCCAGGUGGAGUUGGGCCAAGAUGUUAUCCAGUUUGGAGAGCAAUUAUUAGGGAUGUGUAUUUGUAACUAAAUUUUCUUUAGGCUAGGGAGAAGUUCUUCCUCUAUCUCAUCUAUGAACUGGGAUGUUGACUCUAAAGAAUAGAUUUCAGGUGAUUCCAAAAAAGGAUCAAUAAUCCUAAAAAAUAAAUUAUGGAAGCCCUUUGGUCUGAACAUGUAUAUAAAAUAAGCUACUGUCCUGUAAUGCUUAGAAUAUGAAUUAUAUUUUAAGGAAAGGAUGGUGAACAGAUCUGUUGAAAAUGUCAUUCAAUGAUAGCACAAACUAAAUUUGUUUAUGCAAGUCACUAAAUAUGCUUGUCACAAGCUAUGAGUAAUAUUUACAACAUACAAUUCAAAGAUUUAAUGUCCAAAUAAAGAUUUCUUUAAAUCAACAAGUAAAGCACAAGACACUCCAAUAGAAAAAGAGGAAGGAUAAAAAUAGAAAUUCUUGGAAGAAAUAAAAAUACUUCCUAAUACAUGAAAAGUAAUUAGGGAAAUGUAAACUCAAAUAAGAUUUUUUUUUCUCAUAAUAUUCAGAAAAAUUAAGAGCUUGUUAAUAUCUACUGAUAGUCACAGUGAGAGAAAACGGGCACUCAUAUAAAUUGUUUGUAGGAAUUUGUGUAGUUUUAUUGGACGUCAA
This is a long non-coding RNA of Equus caballus (horse), 2072 nucleotides long. The record is from Ensembl. NCBI's taxonomy places the organism in Eukaryota, Metazoa, Chordata, Mammalia, Perissodactyla, Equidae.